Molecule: ribosomal RNA, 481 nt
Filed under: uncultured bacterium
Lineage: Bacteria
Description: SSU rRNA
Rfam family: Bacterial small subunit ribosomal RNA
Source: RNAcentral
AGGACGAACGCUGGCGGCGUGCCUCAUACAUGCAAGUGGAGCGACGAACCAGGAUUUAUCCUGGGGCAAAGCCGCGAACGGGUGAGUAACACGUGGGUUACCUGCCCCGAUGAUUGGGACAACCCGAGGAAACUCGGGCUAAUACCAAAUGUGUUCUUGGUCGUGAUGACCAAGAAGAAAGGAAGCCUCGGCCUCCGCAUCGGGAUGGGCCCGCGGCCUAUCAGCUAGUUGGUGGGGUAACGGCCCACCAAGGCUACGACGGGUAGCUGGUCUGAGAGGACGGCCAGCCGGAUUGGGACUGAGAUACGGCCCAGACUCCUACGGGGGGCAGCAAUUAGGAAUCUUGCGCAAUGGGGGCAACCCUGACGCAGCGACGCCGCGUGAAGGAUGAAAUACUUCGGUAUGUAAACUUCUUUAUUUGGGAAGAAGAAUGUGACGGUACCAAAUGAAUAAGCCCGGCUAACUACGUGCCAGCAGCCGC